AGGCAGCAGUGGGGAAUUUUGGACAAUGGGCGCAAGCAUGAUCCAACCAUACCGCGUGCGGGAAGAAGGCCUUCGGGUUGUAAACCGCUUUUGUCAGGGAAGAAACGUUCUGGGCUAAUACCCUGGGAUAAUGACGGUACCUGAAGAAUAAGCACCGGCUAACUACGUGCCAGCAGCCGCGGUAAUAAGUAGGGUGCAAGCGUUAAUCGGAAUUACUGGGCGUAAAGCGUGCGCAGGCGGUCUUUCAAGACAGAUGUGAAAUCCCCGGGCUUAACCUGGGAACUGCAUUUGUGACUGCAAGGCUGGAGUGCGGCAGAGGGGGAUGGAAUUCCGCGUGUAGCAGUGAAAUGCGUAGAUAUGCGGAGGAACACCGAUGACGAAGGCAAUCCCCUGGGCCUGCACUGACGCUCAUGCACGAAAGCGUGGGGAGCAAACAGGAUUAGAUACCCUGGUAG
Molecule: ribosomal RNA, 455 nt
Filed under: uncultured bacterium
Lineage: Bacteria
Description: bacterial SSU rRNA
Rfam family: Bacterial small subunit ribosomal RNA
Source: RNAcentral